This is a long non-coding RNA of Vespula vulgaris, 1228 nucleotides long. RefSeq lists it as uncharacterized. NCBI's taxonomy places the organism in Eukaryota, Metazoa, Arthropoda, Insecta, Hymenoptera, Vespidae. The record is from RefSeq and is a predicted model, not a curated record. The transcript is spliced from 3 exons.
UCGCGCGUUACACCCCCACCACCACCAUUACCGGCACCACACAACCACCAUCACCGGCACAGCAAGCGACUCUCUUUGGAUUCGUACCGCCGCUCGAUUCGUCCACGCGGCCACGACGACUGAUGAGCGUUCCUUGCGUCCGAAAAUGUGGAAGCGUUACUGCGGCAUGCACAACCGCGGAUAUUACGUUCUUCGUACUUGGUUAGCUACGAACUCUACGACGAAAUACCUUCGGGCGAUAGGAGCGCAGGAUGUUUCGCGUCGCGUUUCGCCUUCUAUUUGCUCGUCACACAUACAUCCACAAAGAGACGUUAACUUAUCGCAAUCCUACGUGUCAUAUCGAACUCGACAACGUUCCUCCUACGUCGAAUUAUUCUAUCGAACGUCGAGACACCGAAAUGAAAUAUAAUACAUUGUUUGUAAAAAGUACGAGAUACUGUAUUUAAAAUCGUCCCAUUUCAAAUAAUUUCAAGUAUUCGAGGGAUAGUAAGAAUAUCGGCCAACUAGACGAUAAAUAUCAACAAAGUCAUUACGAGUUGGAAAUAAGGUGGGCCUAACCUAAAGGACUUCCAUUUAGAAGAGAGAAAGUAAACCGAUGCCUUUUUAGUAUUUACCAAAAGAUCGCUAUCCCAUGGCGCCGUUGUCGAUACCCCAUAACUCUUCAAAACUCAGCCCACCCAUGCGCUCACCUUAUACUUCUGAAAGUAUAUAUAAUAUGAAAGAUCUUCGAUACAUAUGUGUAUGUCUGUUUAUAAUAAUGCAUUUCGUUAAUUUUUUCUAAUCUUGAAUUAGACUUAUUUCUUAUUUCGUAAUACAAUAAAUCUUGCUUAUUAAAUCUUUAAAACAUGAGAAUCGUAGUCGUUAACAUUUUUAUCCGAUAGGAAGUAGAUCUUUUAUCCUUGACAAGUUGAUUAUAUGAUAAACUAAACUGCAUCUGAACUCUGAAGAAGGGGGAAAUGAAAAGGGGACAAUCAGAAAAAUUUAAAAGGUCGGUCAGUAUUUGUCAUUUCGUUAACUCGGUCACUAAUUAAUUAAUAAAAUCUGUAAUUAGCUCUUAAGUCUAUAUUCUGUAUUUGGUAAACGGUAAUUACUUUAUAAGUUUAUAUUCUGCAUUCUGUGAAACUGCCUGUUAAUUAAUAAGUCUAUAUUUAGUAUUCUGUUAAACUGAUAAUUAGUUAAUAAGUUUGUGUUCUAGAUUUUACCAAACGAUAAUAAAUCAAUAAGUCUG